CUCAGAUCAUGUAAGAUUUUAAUGAUCGAACAGAUCAAAAUUUUAAACUUUUGCAUUUAAAUUUUAUCUUAAUCCAACAUCGAGGUCGCAAACUUUUUUUUUUAUUUGAACUAAAAAAAAAUAUUACGCUGUUAUCCCUAAGGUAAUUUUUUCUUAUAAUCAUUAUUAAUGGAUCAUUUAAUCAUUUAUUUAUGUUUAAUUUUUAAAAAAAGUUAAUUUAAUUUUUCUAUCACCCCAAUAUAAUAAUUAAUUUUAUUUUAAUAAAAAUUUUUAUAUAAUUUUAAAAUAAAAAUAAAUAUAAAACUCUAUAGGGUCUUCUCGUCUUUUAAAAUUAAUUUAGCUUUUUAACUAAAAAAUAAACUUCUAAAAAUAAAUAAGAGACAGUUUAUAUUUCAUUAAAUCUUUCAUACAAGUUUUCAAUUAAAAAACUAAUGAUUAUGCUACCUUUGUACAGUCAUUAUACUGCAGCCCUUUAAUUAUUAUCAGUGGGCAGAUUAGACCUUAAAUUAUAUUCAAAAA
This 519-nucleotide ribosomal RNA is filed under the name Oeneis philipi. RNAcentral describes it as "partial 16S rRNA". Lineage: Eukaryota; Metazoa; Arthropoda; Insecta; Lepidoptera; Nymphalidae. The record is from RNAcentral.